Molecule: transfer RNA, 60 nt
Filed under: Metacrangonyx longipes
Lineage: Eukaryota; Metazoa; Arthropoda; Malacostraca; Amphipoda; Metacrangonyctidae
Description: transfer RNA-Phe
Source: RNAcentral
AUUUAAGUAGCUCUUAGAGUAUUAUUUUGAAGAAAUAAAGGAAGAAAAAUCUCUUAAAUA